CACGUAGGGCGCAAGCGUUGUCCGGAAUUAUUGGGCGUAAAGAGCUCGUAGGCGGUCUGUUGCGUCCGCUGUGAAAACCCGGGGCUUAACCCUGGGCUGGCAGUGGAUACGGACAGACUAGAGGUAGGUAGGGGAGAAUGGAAUUCCCGGUGUAGCGGUGAAAUGCGCAGAUAUCGGGAGGAACACCGGUGGCGAAGGCGACUCUUUGGCCUGUAACUGACGCUGAGGCGCGAAAGCGUGGGGAGCAAACAGG
RNAcentral lists this ribosomal RNA (253 nucleotides) under uncultured bacterium. Its description in RNAcentral is "partial 16S ribosomal RNA". It matches the Rfam family "Bacterial small subunit ribosomal RNA", at positions 524 to 776 of the family's 1533-position model. The record is from RNAcentral.